UGCCAGCCGCCGCGGUAAUACGAAGGGACCUAGCGUAGUUCGGAAUUACUGGGCGUAAAGCGUACGUAGGCGGAUUAAUAAGUUAGAGGUGAAAUCCCAGGGCUCAACCCUGGAACUGCCUUUAAAACUGUUAGUCUUGAGAUCGAGAGAGGUGAGUGGAAUUCCAAGUGUGGAGGUGAAAUUCGUAGAUAUUCGGAGGAACACCAGUGGCGAAGGCGGCUCACUGGCUCGAUACUGACGCUGAGGUGCGAAAGCGUGGGUAGCGAACAGGAUUAGAUA
RNAcentral lists this ribosomal RNA (279 nucleotides) under uncultured bacterium. Its description in RNAcentral is "partial 16S ribosomal RNA". It matches the Rfam family "Bacterial small subunit ribosomal RNA", at positions 506 to 784 of the family's 1533-position model. The record is from RNAcentral.